CUUAUCUGGAGCCAAAGUCUGGAACAUUUUCUCCCUCCUUGUAAGGCAUGUUUGAGUUCUGGAAUAACAAACAGAUUGGAAACCAGUCUCUGUACAUGACAUGGAAAUCCCUUCAUAAUUAAACUGGUGACCUGUUGGAAAGUCGAGCUUCCUUGGAUACCAGUCUCCACGAUGCACGCUUGGCGUCUGCAUUCACCGGAGAGACUUGAACGUUCCUUUACACCUGCGCCCUGGCACUGGCCGCAAUUCAUCCCCACCCUUUUCACCUCGGACUUCCCUGGUGGCGCAGUGCUUAAGAAUCCACCUGCCAAUGCAGGGCACACGGGUUUGAGCCCUGGUCUGGGUAGAUCCCACGUGUCUCGGAGCAACUAAGCCCAUGUGCCUCAACUACUGAAGCC
Molecule: long non-coding RNA, 398 nt
Organism: Hippopotamus amphibius kiboko
Lineage: Eukaryota; Metazoa; Chordata; Mammalia; Artiodactyla; Hippopotamidae
Exons: 3
Source: RefSeq, a predicted model, not a curated record